GAGUUUGAUGUGGCUCAGAUUGAACGCUGGCGGCAUGCCUUACACAUGCAAGUCGAACGGCAGCAUGAUCUAGCUUGCUAGAUUGAUGGCGAGUGGCGAACGGGUGAGUAAUACAUCGGAACGUGCCCUGUAGUGGGGGAUAACUAGUCGAAAGAUUAGCUAAUACCGCAUACGACCUGAGGGUGAAAGUGGGGGACCGCAAGGCCUCAUGCUAUAGGAGCGGCCGAUGUCUGAUUAGCUAGUUGGUGGGGUAAAGGCCCACCAAGGCGACGAUCAGUAGCUGGUCUGAGAGGACGAUCAGCCACACUGGGACUGAGACACGGCCCAGACUCCUACGGGAGGCAGCAGUGGGGAAUUUUGGACAAUGGGCGAAAGCCUGAUCCAGCAAUGCCGCGUGUGUGAAGAAGGCCUCGG
Molecule: ribosomal RNA, 414 nt
Filed under: uncultured microorganism
Description: bacterial SSU rRNA
Rfam family: Bacterial small subunit ribosomal RNA
Source: RNAcentral